This 484-nucleotide ribosomal RNA is filed under the name uncultured bacterium. Its description in RNAcentral is "partial 16S ribosomal RNA". It matches the Rfam family "Bacterial small subunit ribosomal RNA", at positions 29 to 507 of the family's 1533-position model. The record is from RNAcentral.
AUUGAACGCUGGCGGCAUGCUUUACACAUGCCAGUCGAACGGCAGCGCGGGCUUCGGCCUGGCGGCGAGUGGCGAACGGGUGAGUAAUACAUCGGAACGUGCCCAGUCGUGGGGGAUAGCUCGGCGAAAGCCGGAUUAAUACCGCAUACGACCUGAGGGUGAAAGCGGGGGAUCUUCGGACCUCGCGCUAUUUGAGCGGCCGAUGGCAGAUUAGCUAGUUGGUGGGGUAAAGGCCUACCAAGGCGACGAUCUGUAGCUGGUCUGAGAGGACGACCAGCCACACUGGGACUGAGACACGGCCCAGACUCCUACGGGAGGCAGCAGUGGGGAAUUUUGGACAAUGGGCGAAAGCCUGAUCCAGCAAUGCCGCGUGUGUGAUGAAGGCCUUCGGGUUGUAAAGCACUUUUGGCGGGAACGAAAAGGACUGUGCCAAUACCACGGUUCGAUGACGGUACCCGCAGAAUAAGCACCGGCUAACUACGUG